GUCAUGGGCCGAAGCUGUGUUCCUGCUUCUCCUCUGGGAUUAUCAGCCUUGACUAUGCUGAAAUUCCUUGUACUCUGGCCGGCCACACUUUUGUUCCCUAUAAGAAGAGGAACUAAAGUGAAAGUCCCAUAGCUGGUUGCUAAAUUCUUAACUCCAUGCAGCAGAGUACUCUUGGCCUCUCCUUCCACCCAGUGUCCCUAUUGGUUUUCCAAGCAUAUAUAUUUUUUCAGCUCCUUUCUGUUAGCUUAGAAAGCUUGACCCAGUAAUGGACCUUUAGGACCAGAUGUUAUAGGGGGUAGCAGCAUAGAUUCCCAGAAAGCAGAUUCUGAGCACACUGACCCCUUGGCUUUUCUCAGACCACUGCCAAGCAACAGGUCCCUUUACUAAUCUU
This 391-nucleotide long non-coding RNA is filed under the name Homo sapiens (human). RNAcentral describes it as "long non-coding RNA NONHSAT243336". The record is from RNAcentral. Lineage: Eukaryota; Metazoa; Chordata; Mammalia; Primates; Hominidae.